ACGAACACGCGCGUGGGGUACGAGGGGCCGCGCGAGGGCGGGAAAAUCAAUAUGCCAUCGAACACAAACCCGGGCAGAUCCUUAUUUUACCGGGAACAUUAUAAGGGACUUAGCUAAACACGAAGGGAUGAGCUUUCUUACUCGAAAUGCGAUACUCGUCAGUUCUGUACCGUGUUGUGCGGAAAUCAUAGCGAAUAUCGGAAUAUUUUCUAAUUGAAGAAAAAUGCAGUAAUGUGGGCUCACAAUCAUGCCAGCGGUCUUACCUUACUAUCUGUGCAGUCGGUCCACUUGAGGACCUCCUCGCGGAUCUCACGAAGGAGUUUUGCUGACAAAAUUACAAACAUUUAGAGUUAAUUUAAAAAUUGUAUACAUAUAUUACUUUAAAAAACAUUAGUUUAUCAA
Molecule: long non-coding RNA, 402 nt
Organism: Nematostella vectensis (starlet sea anemone)
Lineage: Eukaryota; Metazoa; Cnidaria; Anthozoa; Actiniaria; Edwardsiidae
Exons: 2
Source: RefSeq, a predicted model, not a curated record